Molecule: small nucleolar RNA, 70 nt
Filed under: Kryptolebias marmoratus (mangrove rivulus)
Lineage: Eukaryota; Metazoa; Chordata; Actinopteri; Cyprinodontiformes; Rivulidae
Description: Small nucleolar RNA SNORD30 (ENSKMAG00000007071.1)
Source: RNAcentral
GAAAGUGAUGAGACACUUCUGGAAUCUCGUUCGUCUGAACUUCUGUUGAGAAACAAAACCUCUGACAUCG